AAAGAAACCAACUGGGAUUGCCUCAGUAACGGCGAGUGAAGCGGCAAAAGCUCAAAUUUGAAAUCUGGCUCUCUAACGGGGGUCCGAGUUGUAAUUUGAAGAGGAUGCUUCGGGUGCGACCGCGGCGCAAGUCCCCUGGAACGGGGCGUCGCAGAGGGUGAGAAUCCCGUCUUGAGUCGCUGGUACGCGCCCGUGUGAAGCUCCUUCGACGAGUCGAGUUGUUUGGGAAUGCAGCUCUAAGCGGGUGGUAAAUUUCAUCUAAAGCUAAAUAUUGGCCGGAGACCGAUAGCGCACAAGUAGAGUGAUCGAAAGGUUAAAAGCACCUUGAAAAGGGAGUUAAAUAGCACGUGAAAUUGUUGAAAGGGAAGCGCUUGCGGCCAGACUCGGGUGCGGGGGUUCAGCGGCCAUUCGUGGUCGUGUACUCCCCCGCUGCUCGGGCCAGCAUCGGUUCGGGCGGUCGGUCAAAGGCCCCAGGAAUGUGUCACCUCUCGGGGUGUCUUAUAGCCUGGGGUGCAAUGCGGCCUGCCUGGACCGAGGAACGCGCUUCGGCUCGGAUGCUGGCAUAAUGGCCGUAAGCGGGC
This 581-nucleotide ribosomal RNA is filed under the name Albidomyces albicans. RNAcentral's name for it is "eukaryotic LSU rRNA". It matches the Rfam family "Eukaryotic large subunit ribosomal RNA", at positions 58 to 649 of the family's 3401-position model. Lineage: Eukaryota; Fungi; Ascomycota; Eurotiomycetes; Onygenales; Neoarthropsidaceae. The record is from RNAcentral.